GGAGGUAGUGACAAUAAAUCACAAUGCGGAACUUUUGUUUUGCAAUUGGAUUGAGAACAACGCACAACACUUAUCGAUAAACAAUUGGAGGGCAAGUCUGGUGCCAGCAGCCGCGGUAAUUCCAGCUCCAAUAGCGUAUAUUAACGUUGUUGCAGUUAAAAAGCUCGUAGUUGAAGUGAAGUAAUGAAGUUGUGACUUGAUUUAUCAUUUCGCUCCUUAAUUACUCUUUCCAAACUGUUUGCACGGGUAUUCAUUUACUUGUGUAUUACAUUUGGUCGUUUACUGUGAGAAAAUUAGAGUGUUCAAAGCAUACGUUUGUUUGAAUACAUUAGCAUGGAAUAAUUCGAAAAGGCUUUCAUGUUCGAUUUGAUUGGUUUGUUCGUGAGAGCAAGAUUAAAAGGGACAGUUGGGGGUAUUCAUAUUCAAUAGUCAGAGGUGAAAUUCUCGGAUUUAUGGAAGAUGAACAAGUGCGAAAGCA
RNAcentral lists this ribosomal RNA (478 nucleotides) under Blastocystis sp. RNAcentral's name for it is "SSU rRNA". It matches the Rfam family "Eukaryotic small subunit ribosomal RNA", at positions 460 to 953 of the family's 1831-position model. Lineage: Eukaryota; Bigyra; Opalinata; Blastocystidae. The record is from RNAcentral.